GCUGCUGUUUUGUAAACACUCAGUAUGAGUUCCUGGUCCCGGCUGUUAGGACGUGGCGGAUCGACUAAAAAACGCAACGAAAACAACGAUUUUUUUAAGCAAAAAAUGUGAAUGUUGUGCGGAAACAUAAAGGUCAUAAAUGGCAUAUGCUUCGUCGGACUGCAUAUGAAAAAGUGUUGAGUUUGAGAGAAUCCUGCGGGUCAAGACGGUAUCCAUGUGUUUGUGGCGUGUUUUCCGUAGUUCAUAAAGGGGGAAUGGAUUACUUACUACCUAGCCAGAGAAUCGAAUCUAUAUAAUAUCCUGUGCUGCACGGAACUAUCCUCUGAUUGAUGUUCACAGAGUUCCUCCAACAGAGUUCCCCUCCAUUACGGAAAUGUUUUCCAUUCCAAACGCGUUUGCACAUUAGCACUCCCAUUGGACAGAUAUGACUUCAUUUUCAGGUCAUACACGCCAUAUGCAACAUGAGUCUUGCCACAGAUGUCAGUGCUGUACUUGCAGUUGCACCCGUUCCUUCUUCAUUCCCGGGGCUGGUCCACAUGAGUUACUACAAGCAGAUGAUUUAAUGUAACCGCAUAUGCAUGCGAGUAUGGAUGUGCUCGCACACACAUACAUGGGGCAGGCCACUUCAGAUGCAUUCCCCUCGAUACCAGAACAGAACACACCAGCCCAGACACCCCACACAUGUUUCAAUUGAAGCGUCAGUUGAAAGAAAAACCGGGACGACAGCCACGGUGACCUCCAUCUUGAAAACUGAUGCCCCGAUGAAGCGGUUCCAAAGUUGAGGAUAAUAUUUGGGAGUUCAGUCUGUAUUUGUUUAACAGUGCGUAAAUCAUGGCGUCAACGAGCUGCGACCUUGCCAAGAGCCCAUCUAGAUUCUGGCCAAAUCCGACGUCAAAACAAAUCGUUAAAAUGCAAUAAAACUCUGAGAGAAGGAGGAGGAGUCCACACCCAUAUGCAAUCGCUAAACAAGAGCCAAGGCAAAUGCAUUCAAAUAAAAUUUUACCACCAUUUCCUCGGGCAUCAUCAGCAGGAGCAUCAUCAAACUAACGGCGGCAACAUCCGAGGCACCUCAUAAAAGUAAUGACGUCUAUGGGCCAUCAGCAUCAGCAUCUGAUAGAUACAUUUGUAUCUACGCACGAGGUGGCGUGGAGCGAAGGGGAUAUCACAAUAAUUAUGGCAUACGUCACGGAACUUGGGUUUUUAUAUCUUUUAUAUUGAUUGUCAUCGUGUCACACUAACAGAUCGUAAAAAAGUCGUAAAACCCGGAGACACUCGCUCCUGCUCUGACUAUGUUCGGGCCGGGCCGGGCCG
Long non-coding RNA from Drosophila pseudoobscura, 1311 nucleotides. RefSeq lists it as uncharacterized. The transcript has 4 exons. Lineage: Eukaryota; Metazoa; Arthropoda; Insecta; Diptera; Drosophilidae. The record is from RefSeq and is a predicted model, not a curated record.